UACGGAGGGAGCUAGCGUUGUUCGGAAUUACUGGGCGUAAAGCGCACGUAGGCGGCUUUGUAAGUUAGAGGUGAAAGCCCGGGGCUCAACUCCGGAACUGCCUUUAAGACUGCAUCGCUUGAAUCCAGGAGAGGUGAGUGGAAUUCCGAGUGUAGAGGUGAAAUUCGUAGAUAUUCGGAAGAACACCGGUGGCGAAGGCGGCCACCUGGACAGCGACUGACGCUAAGACGCGAAAGCGUGGGGAGCGAACAGG
RNAcentral lists this ribosomal RNA (253 nucleotides) under uncultured bacterium. Its description in RNAcentral is "partial 16S ribosomal RNA". It matches the Rfam family "Bacterial small subunit ribosomal RNA", at positions 524 to 776 of the family's 1533-position model. The record is from RNAcentral.